CUGGAGUAAGAAAAACUGGCAUGUAUGUAAGAGUCCCCUUGGGAGUCCCCUUGGGAUGGCGACCCAGCGGCCAUUUCUCUGGGGGCUGGAGGAGAACACGUGCACAGAUGACCCCAACCCUUCACCUGCAGAACUGGAAGGCCCGACUUCCCUGACUCAGCCCGGUACUGGAGUCACAGAACCUCGCCAGCGGACUGCAGACCCCAAAUAAAGGGCUUCUUGGCUCCAUAA
Suricata suricatta (meerkat) is the source of this 231-nucleotide long non-coding RNA. RefSeq lists it as uncharacterized. The transcript is spliced from 2 exons. The record is from RefSeq and is a predicted model, not a curated record. NCBI's taxonomy places the organism in Eukaryota, Metazoa, Chordata, Mammalia, Carnivora, Herpestidae.